Molecule: ribosomal RNA, 231 nt
Filed under: uncultured bacterium
Lineage: Bacteria
Description: partial 16S ribosomal RNA
Rfam family: Bacterial small subunit ribosomal RNA
Source: RNAcentral
UGGCCCCUACGGGACGCAGCAGUGGGGAAUAUUGCGCAAUGGGCGAAAGCCUGACGCAGCGACGCCGCGUGAGGGAUGAAGGGCUUCGGAUCGUAAACCUCUGUCAGCAGGGAAGAACGGUCACUGUGCUAAUCAGCAGUGAAUUGACGGUACCUGCAAAGGAAGCACCGGCUAACUCCGCGCCAGCAGCCGGGUAAUACGGAGGGGGCGUGCGUUAAUCGGAAUUACUGG